CUUGUAGCACCAUGACAAAGAAAAUGAGCAGUGUUCUGCUUUCUUAUCAAAAACAGAGGAGCACUAUAAAACAAAACACACAUUUCAUUAAAAGGGUGUAAAAGAAAGGACUUGUAACCUCUGAUGGGUUAAGUACAAAAUUAUGAGAAGGAUACAGAAGGAAGUUUCAGGGUCAGCUUCCAAAAGUUAUAAGAAAUAAUAACAAGUCUUUCUAGAACAAAUCAGGGAGCCUGCUGGAGUUUGACAGCUCUGUAAGGCAAAUAGAUUGUUUCAUACACAGAAGAAACAUCUGGAGAAGAUACAGUCAGGAAAAAAAGGCAGAAUUUAUUUUUGCAUUUGUGAAUGGGAUAGAUGAGCAUGGGUAAACUCCAAUAAUGGGAAGCUUCUUUAAGGGGAAUAAUUAGGAAAACAUAUCUUGGAUUACAGUGCAAGUAUAAAAGAUGAAAGAACACGUUAACAAGUGAGCAACAGCCAACUGCUGAGACCAGAUGGUGUUCAACCACGAGCUGUCAAGCAGCUCAGAGACAAAGUGGUUCAGGUACUAACUGCUGUUUCUGACUUCUCGGCAUCAGAGGGGUCUGAAGAGCUGCACAUGUGAGACCAGAUUUUUUUAAGGAUUUUGGAGAAGAUUGUGGAAGCUGUACACCUGGAAGCCCAAUCUCCUUGACAGACGAAUAAGUAGAAAUUAUGCUGAAGAAUAGAAAAAACUCAGUGGCCACAUAGAAAAGAUGACACAUUAGGGAAAGCCAUUACGGCUUUUUUAAAGCAAAGUAGUGUCUCAGGAAAGCUUUCUUUGAAGAAGUCAAGAAGCUCAUGGACCAUAAAGAUUCAAUUAACUGUCUAUGAUGGUUUCCAAAAGCAAUCAGUAAGAUUCCUCCCCAAGGGAAGUAAAAAGCAAGGCUGCUAAUGGAUAUGAAACUUGGACAAGUAACUGAUAGAAAUGGAGGCCAGUAGUGAUUUACAAAAUAUGUUGCUGAUAAUGAGCUAUUCAGGGUAGGGCUAACUGAGAAAAACUGAAUUACUUUUAUGCUACUAACAGAGUCGGUGGCAAAAUGGCAGAUGAAAUUAAAUCUGAUAAAUAUGAAAGGCUGACAUAUGAGGAAAAAAAAAAAAAAACAAUCCUGAAUUUCACAUAUAUACUGAGGAACUUUGAGUGGAUUUUUACCAGCGAGAAAAAAGGCCUUGAGAUUGUGAAAGCUGAUUCUGUGAGAACAUCAACUCAGGGCUCAGCAGUGAUCAAAAUGGAAAUUGAGAACUGUCAAGAUUAUUGUUAAAAUUUAUUAAGACAGAAAUAGAGAUAAAAAGUGCCAUUGUAUCAAUUCCUGUUUGCACCUGCAUCUUUAAUUGCUUGUGCAGUUCUAGUUCAAAAAUAGUAUGGUAGAACUGGAAUAGAUUAAAUAAAAAUCAAUACAAUUAUUAGAAAUAGUAGGAGGGCUUUGAAAGGGAUUAAGGUUGACUCGGCUGGGUUUCUUCAGUCUCCAGGGAAGGAGAGAUAAUAUCAAAGUCUAUGUAAAAUCUUCAGAGAUGCAAAUAAGAACCAGGAAUCCAGACUGUUCACUGACUUAUCAGACACGAGAACUGAGCUACAGCAAAUGAAAUGAGAACUUGGAAAGUUCAAAACAAACAAGAAGAGAUAGUGCUUCAUUCAGUCUAUAGUUAAGCCAGAAGUCUUUGCUUCAGGAUAUAGUGGGUACCAAAACUUUGCAUGAGCUUAAAAAGCAACUGGAAAAUCAUCAAAGAUUCUUGAUCUAACUCAGCAAGUUCUUGACUUCUUGGCAGCAUCCCUCUGGUUUAUCUGCCACGUGACUGUCCCCUACGUUAAUCAUGCUGCUUCCCAGCCUGCACGGUGCACCCAGCUCUGCUGUGCUCAGACCACCGUGCACACCUGGCCCCGCUUCCAGCAGCUUUCUGGACUCUGGACGUGCCUUCUGUUGGCCUUCAGCCUGCUUGGCGUGUCACGCUGUACAGUGGAUGCAGCACGUUUAUGUUUAGCUCCCUGAUUUCUGGAAGAGCAAGUUGAUACUUGGCUGGAAAGAGGCCAGGAAGGAACUGGAGGUGGUGCCUUUAUGGACCAUUGGAGAAGAAUUCAGUUCAUCAAAGGAAUGAGGAGGCGAUGAGUGACCAAGUUGCCACUUCUAGAGGGUUGAGCAACACAACAAGGAUUUCCCCAUCCCUUCAACCUAAUCUUCUGGAGAAGAGAAAAGCAAGCCCUUCAUUAAAGUGCUAAAGACCACUUUAAUGGUAAAGAAAGAGCAGCAGAAGAAAUGGGCUGAGCUGAAUCUGGACUAACUCAGAUGGGAAGCUCAGAGCUGGCACCUGGCAGAAUGCAACCAUAAAGUGUCCCUGGAGAAAUUCUCAGCUGCCUCCUAUCUCUCCUACCUGCUGCCUGGAGCAAAACAUGGGAGCACAGCAUGAUGGAGAGAGCAAAUAGUCAGGUUGGAAUAGGAA
Molecule: long non-coding RNA, 2448 nt
Organism: Vidua chalybeata
Lineage: Eukaryota; Metazoa; Chordata; Aves; Passeriformes; Viduidae
Exons: 5
Source: RefSeq, a predicted model, not a curated record